CAGGGAUUGCCCUAGUAACGGCGAGUGAAGCGGCAACAGCUCAAAUUUGAAAUCUGGCUCUUUUAGAGUCCGAGUUGUAAUUUGCAGAGGGCGCUUUGGCUUUGGCAGCGGUCCAAGUUCCUUGGAACAGGACGUCACAGAGGGUGAGAAUCCCGUACGUGGUCGCUGGCUAUUGCCGUGUAAAGCCCCUUCGACGAGUCGAGUUGUUUGGGAAUGCAGCUCUAAAUGGGAGGUACAUUUCUUCUAAAGCUAAAUAUUGGCCAGAGACCGAUAGCGCACAAGUAGAGUGAUCGAAAGAUGAAAAGCACUUUGGAAAGAGAGUCAAACAGCACGUGAAAUUGUUGAAAGGGAAGCGCUUGCAGCCAGACUUGCUUACAGUUGCUCAUCCGGGUUUCUACCCGGUGCACUCUUCUGUAGGCAGGCCAGCAUCAGUUUGGGCGGUAGGAUAAAGGUCUCUGUCACGUACCUCCUUUCGGGGAGGCCUUAUAGGGGAGACGACAUACUACCAGCCUGGACUGAGGUCCGCGCAUCUGCUAGGAUGCUGGCGUAAUGGCUGUAAGCGGCCCGUCUUGAAACACGGACCAAGGAGUCUAACAUCUAUGCGAGUGUUUGGGUGUCAAGCCCGAGCGCGUAAUGAAAGUGAACGGAGGUGGGAACCCGCAAGGGUGCACCAUCGACCGAUCCUGAUGUCUUCGGAAGGAUUUGAGUAAGAGCAUGGCUGUUGGGACCCGAAAGAUGGUGAACUAUGCUUGAAUAGGGUGAAAGCCAGAGGAAACUCUGGUGGAGGCUCGCAGCGGUUCUGACGUGCAAAUCGAUCGUCAAAUUUGGGCAUAGGGCGAAAAGACUAAUCGAACUAUCUAGUACCUGGGUUCCUGCCGAAGUUUCCCCUCAGGAUAGCAGUACCGUAUCAGCUUUUUUGAGGGUUAAAGCCGAAAUGAAUUAGAGGAGGCC
Molecule: ribosomal RNA, 951 nt
Filed under: Alternaria alternata
Lineage: Eukaryota; Fungi; Ascomycota; Dothideomycetes; Pleosporales; Pleosporaceae
Description: partial large subunit ribosomal RNA
Rfam family: Eukaryotic large subunit ribosomal RNA
Source: RNAcentral